GAUGAACGCUGGCGGCGUGCUUAAUACAUGCAAGUAGAACGGUAAAGCACGGCGUUUGUGGGGUGCGCAAGUGGCGAACAGGGGUGUAACACGCGAAGAACAUGCCCUUGAUAGUGGGGUAACUUCAGGGGAAUGGAGAGAAUACACGGCAUGAGCGCCUACGUCGUGGGGGGAGUUGGUGAGAGUCGGUGUUGGGGGAUGGACGCGCGGUUUAUCAGCGUGUUGGUGGGGUAGUGGAGUAACAAGGCGUUGACGCGUAGCCGGCCUGAGAGGGUGACAGGGCACAGUGGGACUGAGAUACGGCCCAGACUGCUACGGGAGGCAGCAGUGGGGAACAUUGCACAAUGGGCGGAAGCCGUAUGCAGCAACUCCGCGUGCUGGAUGACGGCCGUCGGGUUGGAACCCGCUUUCGCCUGUGACGAAGAGUGAGUGACGGUAAUGUGUAAAGAAGCACCGGCUAACUACGUG
This 468-nucleotide ribosomal RNA is filed under the name uncultured bacterium. RNAcentral describes it as "partial 16S ribosomal RNA". It matches the Rfam family "Bacterial small subunit ribosomal RNA", at positions 28 to 507 of the family's 1533-position model. The record is from RNAcentral.